CAGACCUGCUGGAGUGAGUCUAGUGGAGGCCACAAAGAUGAUCAGAGGGCUGUAACACUUUACCUAUGAAGUCAAGCUGAGAGUGUUGGGACUG
Empidonax traillii (willow flycatcher) is the source of this 94-nucleotide long non-coding RNA. RefSeq lists it as uncharacterized. The record is from RefSeq and is a predicted model, not a curated record. The transcript is spliced from 3 exons. Lineage: Eukaryota; Metazoa; Chordata; Aves; Passeriformes; Tyrannidae.